Molecule: transfer RNA, 71 nt
Organism: Monoraphidium neglectum
Lineage: Eukaryota; Viridiplantae; Chlorophyta; Chlorophyceae; Sphaeropleales; Selenastraceae
Rfam family: tRNA
About the family: Transfer RNA (tRNA) molecules are approximately 80 nucleotides in length. Their secondary structure includes four short double-helical elements and three loops (D, anti-codon, and T loops).
Source: Rfam
GGUUAAGUCGUCUAAAGGUAAGGCAUUGGUUUGCAAAACCAAGAAUAGCAGUUCAAGUCUGCUCUUAACCU